AUUAGCAUAUCAAUAAGCGGAGGAAAAGAAACCAACAGGGAUUGCCCCAGUAACGGCGAGUGAAGCGGCAAUAGCUCAAAUUUGAAAUCUGGCUCUUUCAGGGUCCGAGUUGUAAUUUGCAGAGGGUGCUUUGGCGUCGGCCGUGGUCUAAGUUCCUUGGAACAGGACGUCACAGAGGGUGAGAAUCCCGUACGUGGCCGCCGGUCUUCGCCGUGUAAAGCCCCUUCGACGAGUCGAGUUGUUUGGGAAUGCAGCUCUAAAUGGGAGAUAAAUUUCUUCUAAAGCUAAAUAUUGGCCAGAGACCGAUAGCGCACAAGUAGAGUGAUCGAAAGAUGAAAAGCACUUUGGAAAGAGAGUCAAAAAGCACGUGAAAUUGUUGAAAGGGAAGCGCUUGCAGCCAGACGUGCCCGCAGUUGCUCACCCGGGCUCUCGCCCGGGGCACUCUUCUGCGGGCAGGCCAGCAUCAGUUCGGGCGGUUGGAUAAAGGCCUCUGUCACGUACCACCCCCUCGGGGGCGGCCUUAUAGGGGAGGCGCAACACGACCAGCCCGAACUGAGGACCGCGCAUUAUGCUAGGAUGCUGGCGUAAUGGCUGUAAGCGGCCCGUCUUGAAACACGGACCAAGGAGUCUAACAUCUAUGCGAGUGUUUGGGUGUCAAGCCCGGACGCGCAAUGAAAGUGAACGGAGGUGGGAACCCUUACGGGCGCACCAUCGACCGAUCCUGAAGUCUUCGGAUGGAUUUGAGUAAGAGCAUAGCUGUUGGGACCCGAAAGAUGGUGAACUAUGCCUGAAUAGGGUGAAGCCAGGGGAAACCCUGGUGGAGGCUCGCAGCGGUUCUGACGUGCAAAUCGAUCGUCAAA
Molecule: ribosomal RNA, 860 nt
Filed under: Parathyridaria serratifoliae
Lineage: Eukaryota; Fungi; Ascomycota; Dothideomycetes; Pleosporales; Thyridariaceae
Description: partial large subunit ribosomal RNA
Rfam family: Eukaryotic large subunit ribosomal RNA
Source: RNAcentral